AUGCAGCCAGCGCCGCCCCUCUAUUCGUCCACGCAUAGGGGUCACACCGCUUAUAUAAUACACAGACGCAGGCAAUACACUUCCAAUUUCCAGUCACAAGAUCCAAUCAAUCAUACAAACACGAUAGCAAGCCAAGAAUUAAGAGGCUCUGGGAAGAUGCAGGCGGCGAAGGAGAAGGUGAAGGACGGCGUGAGCGCGGUGAAGGCCAAGGCCAAGAUCACGCAGGCCAAGGCGUCGGAGAAGGCGGAGGCGGCCACGGCGAGGUCGCACGCGGAGCGGGAGCUGGCGCACGAGCGCGGCAAGGCCAAGGUGGCCGCGGCCAAGAUGGAGCUGCACCAGGACAAGGCGCUCCACCGGGAGGAGGCCAUGGAGCACCGCAUCCACAAGCACGGCGGCGGCCACGGCCGCCACCACCACAAGCACGGCGUCGGCAUCGUGGCCGCGCCCCCGCCGGCGACCGGUGCCGGGGCUUACCACCCUCCUCCCGCCGCCGGUGGCCACUACUACUGA
Molecule: ribosomal RNA, 510 nt
Filed under: Triticum aestivum (bread wheat)
Lineage: Eukaryota; Viridiplantae; Streptophyta; Magnoliopsida; Poales; Poaceae
Description: partial small subunit ribosomal RNA
Source: RNAcentral